Molecule: unclassified non-coding RNA, 254 nt
Filed under: Hevea brasiliensis (rubber tree)
Lineage: Eukaryota; Viridiplantae; Streptophyta; Magnoliopsida; Malpighiales; Euphorbiaceae
Source: RNAcentral
AAACUAUUGCAUUUCAAUUAGUUAUCUUCCCUGUUUUUAUAUCUGAAAUUGAGAUAUAAUUCACUCUUUUUUUGCCUAGAGAUAAUUCAUGGGGAACCUUGCAUGUCCAAGAUUGUAGAUUAGUUGAUUUUUUUUUUUUACUUAUUUGAUCUCAUAUUCCAUAUGCACUAUUGUCUAUUGUGGUUGAGCAUCUAUGCUUAUCUAGCUUGGUAAUAUUGUUGUGUAGUUCUUUAGUUGUUAAAAUAAUGGUGGUG